This 119-nucleotide non-coding RNA is filed under the name Rhinolophus ferrumequinum (greater horseshoe bat). The record is from RNAcentral. Lineage: Eukaryota; Metazoa; Chordata; Mammalia; Chiroptera; Rhinolophidae.
GUAUUGCAUAAUAGCAGGCAUUUUCCUUAACAAGGAUGGAAGUGGUUCUAGUGACCUAUAAAAUACACACAUGGUUAAGGAAUUGCCAACAACUUUGUGGCAUCUAACCAUGAUUUUUA